This 603-nucleotide ribosomal RNA is filed under the name uncultured fungus. Its description in RNAcentral is "eukaryotic LSU rRNA". It matches the Rfam family "Eukaryotic large subunit ribosomal RNA", at positions 23 to 641 of the family's 3401-position model. Lineage: Eukaryota; Fungi. The record is from RNAcentral.
ACCCGCUGAACUUAAGCAUAUCAAUAAGCGGAGGAAAAGAAACCAACAGGGAUUGCCCUAGUAACGGCGAGUGAAGCGGCAACAGCUCAAAUUUGAAAUCUGGCGUCUUUGGCGUCCGAGUUGUAAUUUGCAGAGGGCGCUUUGGCAUUGGCAGCGGUCCAAGUUCCUUGGAACAGGACGUCACAGAGGGUGAGAAUCCCGUACGUGGUCGCUAGCCUUUACCGUGUAAAGCCCCUUCGACGAGUCGAGUUGUUUGGGAAUGCAGCUCUAAAUGGGAGGUAAAUUUCUUCUAAAGCUAAAUACUGGCCAGAGACCGAUAGCGCACAAGUAGAGUGAUCGAAAGAUGAAAAGCACUUUGGAAAGAGAGUUAAAAAGCACGUGAAAUUGUUGAAAGGGAAGCGCUUGCAGCCAGACUUGCCUGUAGUUGCUCAUCCGGGUUUUUACCCGGUGCACUCUUCUAUAGGCAGGCCAGCAUCAGUUUGGGCGGUUGGAUAAAGGUCUCUGUCAUGUACCUCUCUUCGGGGAGAACUUAUAGGGGAGACGACAUGCAACCAGCCCGGACUGAGGUCCGCGCAUCUGCUAGGAUGCUGGCGUAAUGGCUGU